Drosophila melanogaster (fruit fly) is the source of this 89-nucleotide small nucleolar RNA. It matches the Rfam family "Small nucleolar RNA Me28S-Gm1083". From Rfam's summary of the family: Me28S-Gm1083 is a member of the C/D class of snoRNA which contain the C (UGAUGA) and D (CUGA) box motifs. This family directs 2'-O-methylation of 28S G-1083. Lineage: Eukaryota; Metazoa; Arthropoda; Insecta; Diptera; Drosophilidae. The record is from Rfam.
CGUUAUCUGAUGAGCAAUAACUUUCGCCCCUAGCUGAAAAAUGAUACUUCUCAUGUUGAAUGCGAGAUUGGUCUUACUGAAAAUAACGG